Molecule: ribosomal RNA, 329 nt
Filed under: uncultured eukaryote
Lineage: Eukaryota
Description: partial 18S ribosomal RNA
Rfam family: Eukaryotic small subunit ribosomal RNA
Source: RNAcentral
CCCUUAGAUGUUCUGGGCCGCACGCGCGCUACACUGAUGCAUUCAACGAGUCUAAAACCUGCUCUGAUAGGGGUGGGUAAUUUUUUGAAUGUGCAUCGUGAUUGGGAUAGAUGAUUGCAAUUUUUCAUCUUCAACGAGGAAUGCCUAGUAAACGCAAGUCAUCAGCUUGCAUUGAUUACGUCCCUGCCCUUUGUACACACCGCCCGUCGCUCCUACCGAUUGAAUGAUCCGAUGAAUAUCAUGGAUUGAGGAUGUAAGCAGGUUCGCCUGUCUUCAUCUUCGAGAAGUGAAGUAAAUCUUAUCAUUUAGAGGAAGGAGAAGUCGUAACA